CGCCAUAGCUCAGUUGGUAGUAGCGCAUGACUGUUAAUCAUGAUGUCGUAGGUUCGAGUCCUACUGGCGGA
RNAcentral lists this transfer RNA (71 nucleotides) under Streptococcus pneumoniae. RNAcentral describes it as "tRNA-Asn". It matches the Rfam family "tRNA". From Rfam's summary of the family: Transfer RNA (tRNA) molecules are approximately 80 nucleotides in length. Their secondary structure includes four short double-helical elements and three loops (D, anti-codon, and T loops). The record is from RNAcentral. RNAcentral also lists the same sequence under 1 other name. Lineage: Bacteria; Bacillati; Bacillota; Bacilli; Lactobacillales; Streptococcaceae.